UGGCAUCCUCGUGGAUAAAAUUGGGAUAUC
Molecule: non-coding RNA, 30 nt
Filed under: Rattus norvegicus (Norway rat)
Lineage: Eukaryota; Metazoa; Chordata; Mammalia; Rodentia; Muridae
Source: RNAcentral